This 46-nucleotide non-coding RNA is filed under the name Schistosoma margrebowiei. The record is from RNAcentral. Lineage: Eukaryota; Metazoa; Platyhelminthes; Trematoda; Strigeidida; Schistosomatidae.
AUUCAGUUGACAAGUUCUGAACAGGACGAAACAUCGUGUCCUAAAU